ACGGAGGGUGCAAGCGUUAUUCGGAAUUACUGGGCGUAAAGCGCGUGUAGGAGGUCCUGCAAGUCUGAUGUGAAAGCCCCGGGCUUAACCCGGGAAGUGCAUUGGAAACUGUGGGACUUGAGUACUGGAGAGGAUGGGGGAAUUCCCGGUGUAGAUGUGUAAAUCGUAGAGAUCGGGAGGAAUAUCAGUGGCGAAGGCGCCCAUCUGGAAGGUAACUUUCGCUGAGACGCGUAAGCGUGGGGAGGAAACAG
This 251-nucleotide ribosomal RNA is filed under the name uncultured prokaryote. Its description in RNAcentral is "partial 16S rRNA". It matches the Rfam family "Bacterial small subunit ribosomal RNA", at positions 525 to 775 of the family's 1533-position model. The record is from RNAcentral.